This 69-nucleotide transfer RNA is filed under the name Euretaster insignis. Its description in RNAcentral is "tRNA-Ser". It matches the Rfam family "tRNA". Rfam says of the family: Transfer RNA (tRNA) molecules are approximately 80 nucleotides in length. Lineage: Eukaryota; Metazoa; Echinodermata; Asteroidea; Velatida; Pterasteridae. The record is from RNAcentral.
GGAGAAGUGACAGAAAAAUUGUGUUUAGUUUGAAACUAUAAGAUAGAGGUUAAAUUCCUCUCUUCUCUU